This 301-nucleotide ribosomal RNA is filed under the name uncultured bacterium. RNAcentral's name for it is "partial 16S ribosomal RNA". It matches the Rfam family "Bacterial small subunit ribosomal RNA", at positions 509 to 807 of the family's 1533-position model. The record is from RNAcentral.
CAGCCGCCGCGGUAAAACGAAGGGUGCAAGCGUUACUCGGAAUUACUGGGCAUAAAGCGUGCGUAGGUGGUGGUUUAAGUCCGUUGUGAAAGCCCUGGGCUCAACCUGGGAAUUGCAGUGGAUACUGGGUCACUAGAGUGUGGUAGAGGAUAGUGGAAUUUCCGGUGUAGCAGUGAAAUGCGUAGAGAUCGGAAGGAACAUCUGUGGCGAAGGCGACUAUCUGGGCCAACACUGACACUGAGGCACGAAAGCGUGGGGAGCAAACAGGAUUAGAUACCCCAGUAGUCCCUGUCUCUUAUAC